GACGAACGCUGGCGGCGGGCUUAACACAUGCAAGUCGAACGGAAAGGCCCUGCUUUUGUGGGGUGCUCGAGUGGCGAACGGGUGAGUAACACGUGAGUAACCUGCCCUUGACUUUGGGAUAACUUCAGGAAACUGGGGCUAAUACCGGAUAGGAGCUCCUGCUGCAUGGUGGGGGUUGGAAAGUUUCGGCGGUUGGGGAUGGACUCGCGGCUUAUCAGCUUGUUGGUGGGGUAGUGGCUUACCAAGGCUUUGAGGGGUAGCCGGCCUGAGAGGGUGACCGGCCACAUUGGGACUGAGAUACGACCCAGACUCCUACGGGAGGCAGCAGUGGGGAAUAUUGCACAAUGGGCGGAAGCCUGAUGCAGCAACGCCGCGUGCGGGAUGACGGCCUUCGGGUUGUAAACCGCUUUCGCCUGUGACGAAGCGUGAGUGACGGUAAUGGGUAAAGAAGCACCGGCUAACUACGUG
Molecule: ribosomal RNA, 468 nt
Filed under: uncultured bacterium
Lineage: Bacteria
Description: partial 16S ribosomal RNA
Rfam family: Bacterial small subunit ribosomal RNA
Source: RNAcentral